RNAcentral lists this ribosomal RNA (629 nucleotides) under Ramaria sp. MHM156. RNAcentral's name for it is "eukaryotic LSU rRNA". The stretch from base 219 to 373 matches the Rfam family "5.8S ribosomal RNA". Lineage: Eukaryota; Fungi; Basidiomycota; Agaricomycetes; Gomphales; Gomphaceae. The record is from RNAcentral.
AGGAUCAUUAACGUAUUGUUGGGGGGUUAGAUGCUGGCCUGCGAAGGCACCUGCUCGCCCCUGUACUCUAAAUCCACAUACACCUGUGCACCUUCAGCGAGCGCCUCCCGUUCGGAGCCGUCCGGCGUUCGUGCGUCGGACCGGGGCGCUCCCUGCCUUAAUACACCACAGCCUGUCUUAUAACGCAUGUGAUGGCCCCACGGGGCAGAAGCCUAUACAACUUUCAACAACGGAUCUCUUGGCUUUCGCAUCGAUGAAGAACGCCGCGAAAGUGCGAAACGUAAUGUGAAUUGCAGAAUUCAGUGAAUCAUCGAAUCUUUGAACGCACCUUGCGCUCCUUGGUAUUCCGAGGAGCAUGCCUGUUUGAGUGUCGUGAACUCCCUCAACCUUGCUUCUUUGUUGAAGUGGGUUUGGAUUUGGACGCCUGCGGCCCUCUGGCGCCGCUCGUCUUUAAAUGCAUUAGCUGGUCCCUCUGGUCGGUCCGACGGCGGUGUGAUAACAAACGCUUUCGUUGACCGUGGCGCCGCUUGUCGCCGGCCCGGGCCGCUUACAAUCGUCUUCGGACAAGCCUUUUCAUGUCAUCAGACCUCAGAUCAGGUAGGACUACCCGCUGAACUUAAGCAUAUCAA